Molecule: ribosomal RNA, 324 nt
Filed under: uncultured Bacillota bacterium
Lineage: Bacteria; Bacillati; Bacillota
Description: bacterial SSU rRNA
Rfam family: Bacterial small subunit ribosomal RNA
Source: RNAcentral
GACGAACGCUGGCGGCGUGCCUAACACAUGCAAGUCGAGCGGAGACUGUUAGUAAUAGCAGUUUUAGCGGCGGACGGGUGAGUAACGCGUGGGCAACCUACCUUUCACAGGGGGAUAACACUGGGAAACUAGUGCUAAGACCGCAUAAAAUCACAGGAUAGCAUUAUCCAAUGAUCAAAGGAGAAAUCUGGUGGAAGACGGGCCCGCGUCCGAUUAGCUAGUUGGUGAUGUAACGGACCACCAAGGCGACGAUCGGUAGCCGAACUGAGAGGUUGAUCGGCCACAUUGGGACUGAGACACGGCCCAGACUCCUACGGGAGGCAG